This 301-nucleotide ribosomal RNA is filed under the name uncultured bacterium. Its description in RNAcentral is "partial 16S ribosomal RNA". It matches the Rfam family "Bacterial small subunit ribosomal RNA", at positions 509 to 807 of the family's 1533-position model. The record is from RNAcentral.
CAGUAGCCGCGGUAAUACGGAGGGGGCUAGCGUUGUUCGGAUUUACUGGGCGUAAAGGGCGCGUAGGCGGACUGAUAAGUCAGGGGUGAAAUCCCAAGGCUCAACCUUGGAACUGCCUUUGAUACUGUUUGUCUUGAGUUCGAGAGAGGUAAGUGGAACUGCGAGUGUAGAGGUGAAAUUCGUAGAUAUUCGCAAGAACACCAGUGGCGAAGGCGGCUUACUGGCUUGAAACUGACGCUGAGGCGCGAAAGCGUGGGGAGCAAACAGGAUUAGAUACCCCCGUAGUCCCUGUCUCUUAUAC